GCCUGGAUGGCGGAAUGGUAGACGCGACGGACUCAAAAUCCGUUUCCCAUUAGGGAGUAAGGGUUCAAGUCCCUUUCUAGGCACCA
RNAcentral lists this transfer RNA (86 nucleotides) under Cetobacterium sp. RNAcentral describes it as "tRNA-Leu". It matches the Rfam family "tRNA". Rfam says of the family: Transfer RNA (tRNA) molecules are approximately 80 nucleotides in length. Their secondary structure includes four short double-helical elements and three loops (D, anti-codon, and T loops). The record is from RNAcentral. Lineage: Bacteria; Fusobacteriati; Fusobacteriota; Fusobacteriia; Fusobacteriales; Fusobacteriaceae. RNAcentral also lists the same sequence under 1 other name.